CGAACGGUGAAGGAGAGCUUGCUCUUUGGAUCAGUGGCGAACGGGUGAGUAACACGUGAGCAAUCUGCCCCUGACUCUGGGAUAACAGUUGGAAACAGCUGCUAAUACCGGAUAUGAGACAUGGCCGCAUGGUCAAUGUUUGGAAAGAAUUUCGGUCAGGGAUGAGCUCGCGGCCUAUCAGCUUGUUGGUGAGGUAAUGGCUCACCAAGGCGUCGACGGGUAGCCGGCCUGAGAGGGUGACCGGCCACACUGGGACUGAGACACGGCCCAGACUCCUACGGGAGGCAGCAGUGGGGAAUAUUGCACAAUGGGCGCAAGCCUGAUGCAGCAACGCCGCGUGAGGGACGAAGGCCUUCGGGUUGUAAACCUCUUUUAGCAAGGAAGAAGCGAAAGUGACGGUACUUGCAGAAAAAGCGCCGGCUAACUACGUGCCAGCAGCCGCGGUAAUACGUAGGGCGCAAGCGUUAUCCGGAAUUAUUGGGCGUAAAGAGCUCGUAGGCGGUUUGUCGCGUCUGCUGUGAAAUCUGGGGGCUCAACCCCCAGCCUGCAGUGGGUACGGGCAGACUAGAGUGCGGUAGGGGAGAUUGGAAUUCCUGGUGUAGCGGUGGAAUGCGCAGAUAUCAGGAGGAACACCAAUGGCGAAGGCAGAUCUCUGGGCCGUAACUGACGCUGAGGAGCGAAAGGGUGGGGAGCAAACAGGCUUAGAUACCCUGGUAGUCCACCCCGUAAACGUUGGGAACUAGUUGUGGGGUCCAUUCCACGGAUUCCGUGACGCAGCUAACGCAUUAAGUUCCCCGCCUGGGGAGUACGGCCGCAAGGCUAAAACUCAAAGGAAUUGACGGGGACCCGCACAAGCGGCGGAGCAUGCGGAUUAAUUCGAUGCAACGCGAAGAACCUUACCAAGACUUGACAUAUACGAGAACGGGCUAGAAAUAGUCAACUCUUUGGACACUCGUAAACAGGUGGUGCAUGGUUGUCGUCAGCUCGUGUCGUGAGAUGUUGGGUUAAGUCCCGCAACGAGCGCAACCCUCGUUCUAUGUUGCCAGCACGUUAUGGUGGGAACUCAU
Molecule: ribosomal RNA, 1067 nt
Filed under: Microbacterium oxydans
Lineage: Bacteria; Bacillati; Actinomycetota; Actinomycetes; Micrococcales; Microbacteriaceae
Description: bacterial SSU rRNA
Rfam family: Bacterial small subunit ribosomal RNA
Source: RNAcentral